This 404-nucleotide ribosomal RNA is filed under the name uncultured soil bacterium. Its description in RNAcentral is "bacterial SSU rRNA". It matches the Rfam family "Bacterial small subunit ribosomal RNA", at positions 26 to 436 of the family's 1533-position model. The record is from RNAcentral.
AGAAUGAACGCUGGCGGCGUGCUUUACACAUGCAAGUCGAGCGAGGCGGGUAGCAAUACCCAGUCGAGCGGCGAACGGGUGAGUAACGCGUGGAUGACCUGCCCUGAGGUGGGGAAUAACCCGGGGGAAACUCGGGCUAAUACCGCAUAUGACCGUGAGGUCAAAGAGGGGUCGCAAGAUCUCUUGCCACAGGAGGGUCCGCGUUCGAUUAGCUAGUUGGUAGGUAUGGCCUACCAAGGCGACGAUCGAUAGCCGGCCUGAGAGGGUGAUCGGCCACACUGGAACUGAGACACGGUCCAGACUCUACGGAGGCAGCAGUGGGAAUUUGCGCAAUGGGCUAACGCCGUGACGGCAGCAACGCCGACGUCGGAGGAUGGAAGGUCCUUGGAGUUGUAAACUCCGUU